GUCGGGAUAGUGAUCACUAAAGAUAAGGUUCUACUUUGAUGGAAAGGAUAGAACAGCUCUUCCCAAUGCGGGAAAGACGUUGGACUGCAUGAAGCUCACAUGGUUUAUGUCAGUUAGAAGAAACUCCCAAAGUUAUAUAAUCCCGAGUCCCAAGUAUCCCGAGUCUAAAAGAGUUCUAGAGUUCCCAAGUGUUAAAAGUUUCUAAAAGUUCUGAGCCC
Molecule: long non-coding RNA, 218 nt
Filed under: Capsicum annuum
Lineage: Eukaryota; Viridiplantae; Streptophyta; Magnoliopsida; Solanales; Solanaceae
Description: long non-coding RNA (CANN_LNC019539)
Source: RNAcentral